RNAcentral lists this ribosomal RNA (504 nucleotides) under uncultured bacterium. RNAcentral describes it as "partial 16S ribosomal RNA". It matches the Rfam family "Bacterial small subunit ribosomal RNA", at positions 30 to 523 of the family's 1533-position model. The record is from RNAcentral.
AUUGAACGCUGGCGGCAGGCCUAACACAUGCAAGUCGAACGGUAGCACAGAGAGCUUGCUCUCGGGUGACGAGUGGCGGACGGGUGAGUAACGUCUGGGAAACUGCCUGAUGGAGGGGGAUAACUACUGGAAACGGUAGCUAAUACCGCAUAACGUCGCAAGACCAAAGUGGGGGACCUUCGGGCCUCACACCAUCGGAUGUGCCCAGAUGGGAUUAGCUAGUAGGUGGGGUAAUGGCUCACCUAGGCGACGAUCCCUAGCUGGUCUGAGAGGAUGACCAGCCACACUGGAACUGAGACACGGUCCAGACUCCUACGGGAGGCAGCAGUGGGGAAUAUUGCACAAUGGGCGCAAGCCUGAUGCAGCCAUGCCGCGUGUAUGAAGAAGGCCUUCGGGUUGUAAAGUACUUUCAGCGGGGAGGAAGGCGGUGAAGUUAAUAACUUCACCGAUUGACGUUACCCGCAGAAGAAGCACCGGCUAACUCCGUGCCAGCAGCCGCCGCUG